This 63-nucleotide transfer RNA is filed under the name Stenopirates sp. PJ-2015. RNAcentral describes it as "tRNA-Asn". Lineage: Eukaryota; Metazoa; Arthropoda; Insecta; Hemiptera; Enicocephalidae. The record is from RNAcentral.
UUAAUUGAAGCCAAAAAGAGGCAUUUUAUUGUUAAUAAAAAUAUUGAUUAAUAUCCAAUUAAA